UUCUUAGUAUACUUAUGUCCCAGGCCAUAUUUGGGACAUACUUAUACUAAAA
Pan troglodytes (chimpanzee) is the source of this 52-nucleotide microRNA precursor. It matches the Rfam family "mir-1302 microRNA precursor family". The record is from Rfam. Lineage: Eukaryota; Metazoa; Chordata; Mammalia; Primates; Hominidae.